UAGAACUGCCAUUCACAUUACAAUAUUUUACACAAACACAGACUCAUUUUCUCUGCUGAACUACAAUCAGAUUUUAGCAUUCAAUCUUUCUUCUUCUCAAAUAAUACCAAUGACAUUUUCAUUCUAUAAUUCACUUCACAAUAUUCAAAAACUCUCAAUCCUCUUAUUCAAAGAAAAUAACAAAUAAAAGAAAAGAGGUAGCACCAAGCUUACCCCGGCUCAUACUAUCACAGUGAUGGCAUUUUCUUCCCCUCUUCCAUCCUCCUUAUACUACCCCGAGAUACCAACUCCUAUACUACAGAUGAUAACUACUUUUCUUGACUAUUCAUCCAUCCUACAUACUGAACCACCUUUUCAGCAGUU
Molecule: long non-coding RNA, 363 nt
Filed under: Physcomitrium patens
Lineage: Eukaryota; Viridiplantae; Streptophyta; Bryopsida; Funariales; Funariaceae
Description: long non-coding RNA (PPAT_LNC005242)
Source: RNAcentral